Molecule: long non-coding RNA, 3387 nt
Filed under: Actinidia chinensis (golden kiwifruit)
Lineage: Eukaryota; Viridiplantae; Streptophyta; Magnoliopsida; Ericales; Actinidiaceae
Description: long non-coding RNA (ACHI_LNC000321)
Source: RNAcentral
CGCCUUAUAUUGUAUUUUCUCUAUUUCAAGUUAUGCUGAUUUGAAUAUUUGUGUAAUAAGUAGUGACUGUUUUGCAUUUGUUUUGUUUUGCGAGGACUAAUGACAUUGACUAUCGGGCUAAACUUCAACCACAAAUUAUUUAGGUAUUAUUUGACAAUGCUUUAUGUUGAACUUUGUUUAUUUCAAGUUAUGCUGAUUUGAAUUUUUGAGUAAUGAGUAGUGACUGUUUUGCAUUUAUUGUGUUGUGCGUGAACUGAUGCUAUUACCAAGUACUCUCAAAUACAUAUCUCCACGCCUUUAAAUAUUGAGGUACGUAACAAACAUUUGAAAUUGUAUAUUUAUUUUGGACAAUAAUUAACUUGAGCCUUGAAAAUUCCGGGUUCAUUUCAAGCUCAAGUUAAUUAGGUUAUGUAGACAACGCCUAAUUGUAUUUUCUCUAUUUCCAUAUGCUGAUUUAAAUAUUUGUGUAAUAAGUAGUGACUGUUUUCAUUUGUUUUGUUUUGCGAGGACCUAAUGACAUUGACUAUCGGGCUAAACCUUCACCACAACUUAUUAGGUAAUUAUUGACAUGCUUUAUGUGGAACUUUGUUUAUUUCAAGUUAUGCUGAUUUGAAUUUUUGAGUAAUGAGUAUUGACUUUUGCAUUUAUUGUGUUGUGCUUGAAACUGAUGCUAUACCAAUACUCUCAAAUACAAUCUCCACUCCUUUAAAUAUUGAGGUACGUCACAACAUUUGAAUUGGUAUAUUUAAUUUUGGACAAUAAUUAACUUGACGCUUGAAAUUUCCCGGGUUUAAUUUCAGCUCAGUUUAAUUAGGUUAUUCAGACAACGCCUUAUAUUGUAUUUUCUCUAUUCAGUUAUGCUGAUUGAAUAUUUGGUGUAAUAAGUUUGACUGUUUUGCUUUUGUUUGUUUGUCGAGGACUAAUGACUUGACUAUCGGCUAAAUUUCAACCACAAAUUAUUUACGUAUUAUUGACAAUGCUUUAUGUUGAACUUUAUUUAUUCAGUUAUGCUAUUUGAAUUUUUGAGUAAUGAGUAGUGACUGUUUUGCAUUUAUUGUGGGUGUUCGUAACUGAGGCUAUUACCAAUACUCUCCAAUAGGCCUUUAAAUAUUGAGGUACGUAACAAACAUUUGAAAUUGUAUAUUUAUUUUGGACAAUAAUUAUUUGAUCUGAAAUUUCCCGGGUUCAUUUCAAACUCAGUUAAUUAGGUAAUGUAGACAACGCCUAUAUUGUAUUUUCUUCAUUUCAAGUUAUGCGGAUUUGAUAUUUGUGUAAUAGUAGUGACUAUUUGCAUUUGUUUUAUUUGCGAGGACUAAUGACAUUUACUUGGUGAUACUUCACCUCAAAUUAUUAGGGUAUUAUUGACAUGCUUUAUGUGUACUUUGUUUAUUUCAAGUUAUUGCUGAUUUGAAUUUUUGAGUAUGAGUCGUGACUGUUUUGGCAUUAUUGGGUUGUGCGAGAACUGAUGCUAUUACCAAGUACUCCUCAACUACAAUAUCUCCACGCCUUUAAAUUUGAGGUACGUAACAAACAUUUGAAAUGGUAUCUUUAUUUUGACAAUAAUUAACUUGAGCUUGAAAUUCCCGGGUUCAAUUUCAAGCUCAAGUUAAUUUAGUUUAUGUAGAUAACAUCCGUAUAUUGUAGGUUCUCUAUUUCAAGUUAGGCUGAUUGAAUAUUUGUGUAAUAAUUAGUGACUGUUUGGCAUUUGUUUUGUUUUGCUAGGACUAAUGACAUUUCUAUCGGGUACUUCAACACAAUAUUUAGGGAUUAUUUUGAAUAUCUUUAAUGUUGAACUUUAUUUAUUCCAAGUUGAUGCUGAUUUGAAUUUUUGAGUAAUGAGUAGUGACUGUUUUGCAUUAUUGUUUUUGUGCGUGAACUGAUGCUAUUACCAAGUACUCUCAAUACAUUCCCACGCCUUUAAAUAUUGAGGUACGUAACAACAUUUGAAUUGUAUAUUUAUUUUGGCACAAUAAUUAAUUUUAGUUGAAAUAUCCCGGGUUCAAUUUCAACUCAAGUUAAUUGGUUCAUGUUAUACAACGUCUUAUAUUGUAUUUUCUCUAUGUCAAGUUAUGCUGAUUUUAAUAUUUUUGUAGAAGUAGUGACUGUUUUUGCUUUGUUUGUUUUGCGAUGACUAAUGACAUUGACUUUCGUGCUAAAAUUCAAUUCACUCACGAAAUUAUUUAGGGAUUAUUUGACCUGCUUUAUGUUGGUACUUUAUUUAUUCAAGUUAUGCUGAUUUGAAUUCUUUGGGUAAUGAUUCGUGACUGUUUUGCAUUUAAUUGUUUUGUUGCGAGAACUGAUGCUAUUACCAGUCCUCUCAAAUACAUAUCCCACGCCUUUAAAUAGUGAGGUUACGGUAACACAUUUGAAAAAUGUAUAUUUAGUUUGGACAAUAAUUAACUGAGCUUGACAUUUUCCAGGGUGCAAUUUCAAGCUCAAUUUAAUUAGGUUUAUGUUAAGACAACGCCUUAUAUUGUAUUUGUCCCCUCUAUUUCAAGUUAUGCUGAUUUGAAUAUUGGUGUAAUAAUUAGUGACUGUGGUUUUGCAUUUGUUUUGUGUUUGGCGAGGAGACGCAUGACAUUACUAUCGGCUAAACUUCGACCACAAAUUAUGUAGAGGUUACAUUUAACAGUUCCUUUAUGUUGAACUUUGUUUAUUUCAAGUUAUCAUUUGAAUUUUUGAUGUAAUGAUCGUGACUGUCUUUUGCAUUAUUGUGUUGUGCGAGAACUGAUGCUAUUACCAAGUCACUCUCAAAGACAUAUUCCACGCCUUUAUAUGAGGUCCGUAACAAACAUUUGAAAUUGUAUAUUUAUUUUGUACAAUAAUUAACUUGAGCUUGAAAUUUCCCGGGUUCAAUUUCAACUCAAGUUAUUAGGUUAUGUUAGACAACGCCUUAUAUUGUAUUUUCUCUAUGUCAGUAUGCCUUAUUGAAUAUUUGUUUAUAAGUAGGUGAUGUUUUUGCAUUUGUUUUGUUUUGCGGAGGACGAUGGACCUUGACUAUCGGGCUAAAACUUAACCACAAUUAUUAGGAAUUAUUUGACAAUACUUUAUGUUGUACUUUGGUUUAUCAAGUUAUGCUGAUUAUGAAUUUUUGCGAGGACUUAAUUGACAUUGACUAUCGGGCUAACUUCAACCACAAAUUAUUUAGGUAUUAUUUGACAAUGCUUUUAUGUGAACGUUGUUUUAUUUCAAGUUAUGCCUGAUUUGAAGUUUGAGUAAUGAAUAGUGACUGUGUUGAUUAUAUUGUGUUGUUCGAGAACUGAUCUAUUGCCUAAGUCUCUCGAAUAACAUAUCUCCACGCCUUUAAAUAUUGAGGUAACGUAACAAACAUUUGAAAUUGUAUAUUUAUUUUGGACAUACUUAACUUGAGCUUGAAAUUUCCCGGGU